This 386-nucleotide ribosomal RNA is filed under the name uncultured bacterium. Its description in RNAcentral is "bacterial SSU rRNA". It matches the Rfam family "Bacterial small subunit ribosomal RNA", at positions 29 to 416 of the family's 1533-position model. The record is from RNAcentral.
AUUGAACGCUGGCGGCAUGCCUUACACAUGCAAGUCGAGCGGCAGCGCGGGGGCAACCCUGGCGGCGAGCGGCGAACGGGUGAGUAAUGCAUCGGAACGUGUCCUCUUGUGGGGGAUAACCAGUCGAAAGACUGGCUAAUACCGCAUGAGCUCGAGAGAUGAAAGCAGGGGACCCGCAAGGGCCUUGCGCGAGAGGAGCGGCCGAUGCCCGAUAGCUAGUUGGUGGGGUAAUAGCCCACCAAGGCGACGAUCGGUAGCUGGUCUGAGAGGACGACCAGCCACACUGGGACUGAGACACGGCCCAGACUCCUACGGGAGGCAGCAGUGGGGAAUUUUGGACAAUGGGGCAACCCUGAUCCAGCCAUGCCGCGUGUGUGAAGAAGGCC